This 562-nucleotide long non-coding RNA is filed under the name Coturnix japonica (Japanese quail). RNAcentral describes it as "lncRNA (ENSCJPG00005006850.1)". Lineage: Eukaryota; Metazoa; Chordata; Aves; Galliformes; Phasianidae. The record is from RNAcentral.
UGCCAGCGGACAGGUGUCUGCUCUGCCGAGAGCCAGCCGUGCUGCACUGUGCUCCAUCAGCUCCUGCCAGGCCCUGCGGUUCACUGCAUAAAGAGCCUGGAGCUGGAGGGGCUAAAACACAGAUGCUGCUGGGGUGAAGCAGUGAGGCUGGUACCCUGCACUCAGGUCGGGCUGGAGUGUGAGAUCACCCUGUCCAAUGGUUCUUCAACCACACCAAUUAAUAAAGGAGAUGGGAGCAUCACCCCUCAGCUUGUUGUGAGAGAUGGAGGCGUCCUCCAAGAGACGGAGCUCGCUCUCCUCCUGGCUGCAGUCAGAUCACAGUGGAUUUGGCCAUACACAGGAGUAGGUCGAGGGAUCCCCGCGGCGCAUGCGAGCUUCCAUUUAUCAACACGACGUUUCCCUUGCAGCGAGAGAUAAAUACGCUGCCUGUUAAUGGGAACAAACUGAGUUUGGGAAGGCUGUUUCAGAGCUUGAUGUUGAAGGUGAAGGUGAAUCAUAGGAUCGUAGAAUCAUUGAGGUUGGAAAAGACCACAAAGGUAAGUCCUACCAUCAACCAUCACUC